AUAUUAAGUCUGUUUUAAAAGUUCGGGGCUCAACCCCGUGAUGGAAUGGAAACUAAUAUUCUUGAGUGCAGGAGAGGAAAGUGGAAUUCCCAGUGUAGCGGUGAAAUGCGUAGAUAUUGGGAGGAACACCAGUGGCGAAGGCGACUUUCUGGACUGUGUCUGACGCUGAGGCGCGAAAGCCAGGGGAGUGAACGGGAUUAGAUACCCCGGUAAUCCUGGCCGUAAACGAUGGGUACUAGGUGUAGGAGGUAUCGACCCCUUCUGUGCCGGAGUUAACGCAAUAAGUACCCCGCCUGGGGAGUACGGCCGCGAGGUUGAAACUCAAAGGAAUUGACGGGGGCCCGCACAAGCGGUGGAGUAUGUGGUUUAAUUCGACGCAACGCGAAGAACCUUACCAGGACUUGACAUCGAUUGAAAGAUCUAGAGAUAGAUCCCUUCCCUUCGGGGAACAAGAAGACAGGUGGUGCAUGGCUGUCGUCAGCUCGUGUCGUGAGAUGUUGGGUUAAGUCCCGCAACGAGCGCAACCCUUAUCCUAUGUUGCCAGCGAGUAAAGUCGGGAACUCAUGGGAGACUGCCGCAGACAAUGCGGAGGAAGGCGGGGAUGACGUCAAGUCAUCAUGCCCCUUAUGUCCUGGGCUACACACGUACUACAAUGGGCUUAAAUAGAGGGAAGCGAAGCCGCGAGGUGGAGCGAAACCCAAAAACAAGCUCUCAGUUCGGAUUGCAGGCUGCAACUCGCCUGCAUGAAGUCGGAAUCGCUAGUAAUCGCAGAUCAGCAUGCUGCGGUGAAUACGUUCCCGGGCCUUGUACACACCGCCCGUA
This 822-nucleotide ribosomal RNA is filed under the name uncultured Veillonellaceae bacterium. RNAcentral describes it as "bacterial SSU rRNA". It matches the Rfam family "Bacterial small subunit ribosomal RNA", at positions 580 to 1398 of the family's 1533-position model. Lineage: Bacteria; Bacillati; Bacillota; Negativicutes; Veillonellales; Veillonellaceae. The record is from RNAcentral.